AAAUCCACUAUAAGAUACACUUUUUAUUUAGAGAUUAACAAAUGACUGCAUUACUUUUUCUCUCACCAUUCAU
Non-coding RNA from Pangasianodon gigas (Mekong giant catfish), 73 nucleotides. NCBI's taxonomy places the organism in Eukaryota, Metazoa, Chordata, Actinopteri, Siluriformes, Pangasiidae. The record is from the annotation of a GenBank genome assembly.